This 254-nucleotide ribosomal RNA is filed under the name uncultured bacterium. Its description in RNAcentral is "partial 16S ribosomal RNA". It matches the Rfam family "Bacterial small subunit ribosomal RNA", at positions 524 to 776 of the family's 1533-position model. The record is from RNAcentral.
UACGUAGGGUCCAAGCGUUGUUCGGAUUUACUGGGCGUAAAGGGCGCGUAGGCGGCAUGACAAGUCACUUGUGAAAUCUCCGGGCUUAACUCGGAACGGCCAAGUGAUACUGUCAAGCUAGAGUGCAGAAAGGGCAAUCGGAAUUCUUGGUGUAGCGGUGAAAUGCGUAGAUAUCAAGAGGAACACCUGAGGCGAAGGCGGGUUGCUAGGCUGACACUGACGCUGACAGCGCGAAAGCCAGGGGAGCAAACGGG